GACCUUGCUUCCUAGCCAGUACUUAAUCACGCUUGAAUCAUUGUGCAAUCCUUCCAAUUUUAAUUUUAGAGCCAUCAACAAUUCUCUUAGUCCCGUCUAUUGCAACCGCAGACAUAUCUGGUACAGCGCUUUAUGCACCUCGCAGCUUCUUACUAACAGUGGAUCUUGAAUUCUGCACCUUUUCACUGGUAGACACAAAGGCGCCCUGAAAUACUUGUAACACUCUUCUCCUCCUUAACUCCAACAACUCCAUCAAUCAAUGACCAAGCAACACACUGCUCCUUUUUGAUUGCAGUACACUGAAGCAGAGCCACCCCCACUAAUGGACAAGUUGAACUUGUCUCCAUUAAAUGCAACGUGAAUUCUCCUUCUCCGUCUUCUGAUUUCCAACUCAUUCACCUACUCACUCCAAACGACAAGCGGAGAGAGGAGGGACCUCCAAAUUUUUCCUUCCGCAUUCACAGUGCAACUGCAGAUAAUCUCCUAAACCAACCACAACUUCCAAGACACUAGAGCCCAACAAUGAGAGUUCCAACAUACACAACUAACUCAACCCUUAUCUCUGGUCUUGCAUCUCUUGCACAACUCCAAAUCUAAAUGUAGUUCAUAGAGACAACCUCACGCAAGCUUGACUUGCCAUUGAAUAAGCCUUAUAUUAUGUCGCUUAUUGGAGGCCUACAACUUCCACUAUAUCAAUGGGCCACAUCAGUCGACCUCAAAUACAAAUGCAUAAAUGCCACACGGGAAGGAUUAUGCAUCAAAAACCAACAGAUUGAUGCGCUAGGUCCCUGGUUCUACCUUGUAACAAUUCCAAACACUACAUUAAAUCCCUCAUUCAGCUAGCAAAAUAGAACGCACACAGGCAUUGUCUCACAUUCGCUCCGCCAGAUUUCAGUAGCAUCAACAGCCGAUCGACAACAAAAACCACCCUAGUAAACACACACACUCACACCACAUUUGCAUCAGAAGAGAACUGAGUUCUAAUAAGCCACCACGGACGGAACCAAUGCUAGAGAGGAGAUAAGAUUUGAAGCUAUAAUCCAACAC
RNAcentral lists this long non-coding RNA (1047 nucleotides) under Physcomitrium patens. Its description in RNAcentral is "long non-coding RNA (PPAT_LNC014221)". Lineage: Eukaryota; Viridiplantae; Streptophyta; Bryopsida; Funariales; Funariaceae. The record is from RNAcentral.